This 112-nucleotide ribosomal RNA is filed under the name Mesorhizobium ciceri. RNAcentral's name for it is "partial 23S ribosomal RNA". The record is from RNAcentral. Lineage: Bacteria; Pseudomonadati; Pseudomonadota; Alphaproteobacteria; Hyphomicrobiales; Phyllobacteriaceae.
CAAGUAUCGAUAAUAGGUAACUNACCCNGAAUACAUAGGGGNAAAGNGGCGAACGCGGGGAACUGAAACAUCUAAGUACCCGUAGAAAGGACAUCAACCGAGACUCCGGAAG